AGUAAAUAGAUACCCGGGUAGUCCACGCCGUAAACGAUGUCGACUUGGAGGUUGUGCCCUUGAGGCGUGGCUUCCGGAGCUAAACGCGUUAAAGUCGACCGCCUGGGGAGUACGGCCGCAAGGUUAAAACUCAAAUGAAUUGACGGGGGCCCGCACAAGCGGUGGAGCAUGUGGUUUAAUUCGAUGCAACGCGAAGAACCUUACCUACUCUUGACAUCCAGAGAACUUAGCAGAGAUGCUUUGGUGCCUUCGGGAACUCUGAGACAGGUGCUGCAUGGCUGUCGUCAGCUCGUGUUGUGAAAUGUUGGGUUAAGUCCCGCAACGAGCGCAACCCUUAUCCUUUGUUGCCAGCGGUUAGGCCGGGAACUCAAAGGAGACUGCCAGUGAUAAACUGGAGGAAGGUGGGGAUGACGUCAAGUCAUCAUGGCCCUUACGAGUAGGGCUACACACGUGCUACAAUGGCGCAUACAAAGAGAAGCGACCUCGCGAGAGCAAGCGGACCUCAUAAAGUGCGUCGUAGUCCGGAUUGGAGUCU
RNAcentral lists this ribosomal RNA (535 nucleotides) under uncultured bacterium. Its description in RNAcentral is "bacterial SSU rRNA". It matches the Rfam family "Bacterial small subunit ribosomal RNA", at positions 775 to 1306 of the family's 1533-position model. The record is from RNAcentral.